Molecule: ribosomal RNA, 253 nt
Filed under: uncultured bacterium
Lineage: Bacteria
Description: partial 16S ribosomal RNA
Rfam family: Bacterial small subunit ribosomal RNA
Source: RNAcentral
UACAGAGGGUGCAAGCGUUAAUCGGAAUUACUGGGCGUAAAGCGUGCGUAGACGGUUACAUAAGUCGGGUGUGAAAGCCCCGGGCUCAACCUGGGAAUUGCAUUCGAGACUGCGUAGCUAGGGUGCGGAAGAGGGAAGCGGAAUUUCCGGUGUAGCGGUGAAAUGCGUAGAUAUCGGGAAGAACACCGGUGGCGAAGGCGGCUCGCUGGGCCAAUGCUGACGCUGAGGCGCGAAAGCGUGGGGAGCAAACAGG